Molecule: ribosomal RNA, 1120 nt
Filed under: Staphylococcus aureus
Lineage: Bacteria; Bacillati; Bacillota; Bacilli; Caryophanales; Staphylococcaceae
Description: partial 23S ribosomal RNA
Rfam family: Bacterial large subunit ribosomal RNA
Source: RNAcentral
UCGAUUCCCUUAGUAGCGGCGAGCGAAACGGGAAGAGCCCAAACCAACAAGCUUGCUUGUUGGGGUUGUAGGACACUCUAUACGGAGUUACAAAGGACGACAUUAGACGAAUCAUCUGGAAAGAUGAAUCAAAGAAGGUAAUAAUCCUGUAGUCGAAAAUGUUGUCUCUCUUGAGUGGAUCCUGAGUACGACGGAGCACGUGAAAUUCCGUCGGAAUCUGGGAGGACCAUCUCCUAAGGCUAAAUACUCUCUAGUGACCGAUAGUGAACCAGUACCGUGAGGGAAAGGUGAAAAGCACCCCGGAAGGGGAGUGAAAUAGAACCUGAAACCGUGUGCUUACAAGUAGUCAGAGCCCGUUAAUGGGUGAUGGCGUGCCUUUUGUAGAAUGAACCGGCGAGUUACGAUUUGAUGCAAGGUUAAGCAGUAAAUGUGGAGCCGUAGCGAAAGCGAGUCUGAAUAGGGCGUUUAGUAUUUGGUCGUAGACCCGAAACCAGGUGAUCUACCCUUGGUCAGGUUGAAGUUCAGGUAACACUGAAUGGAGGACCGAACCGACUUACGUUGAAAAGUGAGCGGAUGAACUGAGGGUAGCGGAGAAAUUCCAAUCGAACCUGGAGAUAGCUGGUUCUCUCCGAAAUAGCUUUAGGGCUAGCCUCAAGUGAUGAUUAUUGGAGGUAGAGCACUGUUUGGACGAGGGGCCCCUCUCGGGUUACCGAAUUCAGACAAACUCCGAAUGCCAAUUAAUUUAACUUGGGAGUCAGAACAUGGGUGAUAAGGUCCGUGUUCGAAAGGGAAACAGCCCAGACCACCAGCUAAGGUCCCAAAAUAUAUGUUAAGUGGAAAAGGAUGUGGCGUUGCCCAGACAACUAGGAUGUUGGCUUAGAAGCAGCCAUCAUUUAAAGAGUGCGUAAUAGCUCACUAGUCGAGUGACACUGCGCCGAAAAUGUACCGGGGCUAAACAUAUUACCGAAGCUGUGGAUUGUCCUUUGGACAAUGGUAGGAGAGCGUUCUAAGGGCGUUGAAGCAUGAUCGUAAGGACAUGUGGAGCGCUUAGAAGUGAGAAUGCCGGUGUGAGUAGCGAAAGACGGGUGAGAAUCCCGUCCACCGAUUGACUAAGGUUUCC